CGUCGACCAGCUCGCGGCUGGCGUCGCGCUGAUUGAUGUUCAGCGCGAUGCAAUCGUAUUUGCGCAGCCGUUCGAGCCAGUCGGCCGNNNN
RNAcentral lists this transfer RNA (91 nucleotides) under Bordetella pertussis. RNAcentral's name for it is "tRNA-Ile(gat)". The record is from RNAcentral. Lineage: Bacteria; Pseudomonadati; Pseudomonadota; Betaproteobacteria; Burkholderiales; Alcaligenaceae.